CCUACGGGGGGCUGCAGUAAGGAAUAUUGGUCAAUGGACGAAAGUCUGAACCAGCCAUGCCGCGUGGAGGAUGAAGGUCCUCUGGAUUGUAAACUUCUUUUAUAUGGGACGAAAAAAGGCCUUUCCAGGUCGUCUGACGGUACCAUAUGAAUAAGCACCGGCUAACUCCGUGCCAGCAGCCGCGGUAAUACGGAGGGUGCAAGCGUUAUCCGGAUUCACUGGGUUUGAAGGGUGGUUAGGUGGGCAGGUAUGAAAUCCCCGAGCUUAACUUGGGAACUGCCAUUGAUACUAUCAGUCUUGAAUACCGUGGAGGUCAGCGGAAUAUGUCAUGUAGCGGUGAAAUGCUUAGAUAUGACAUAGAACACCAAUUGCGAAGGCAGCUGGCUACACGAGUAUUGACACUGAGGCACGAAAGCGUGGGGAUCAAACAGGAUUAGAUACCCGAGUAGC
RNAcentral lists this ribosomal RNA (450 nucleotides) under uncultured bacterium. RNAcentral describes it as "partial 16S ribosomal RNA". It matches the Rfam family "Bacterial small subunit ribosomal RNA", at positions 338 to 794 of the family's 1533-position model. The record is from RNAcentral.